ACUGCGGACCGGGCCCCUCUGGCGCGUCGCAUCGGCCCUAAGGGCAAUGCGCGCGUGAUGUCGGACCGCAUCG
Regulatory RNA element from Sphingomonas sp. Root710, 73 nucleotides. It matches the Rfam family "terC RNA". The record is from Rfam. Lineage: Bacteria; Pseudomonadati; Pseudomonadota; Alphaproteobacteria; Sphingomonadales; Sphingomonadaceae.